UCCAACCCGUUAGACUCGCGAGCGACUCAUCCCAGACACGAACACGAUGACGCGAGGGCUGCCGCCGCCGCCGCCGCCGUUGCAACCUCGAUGGGCGGCUCUUCCCAUGCCGCAGACAUCGCCACGGGCGACUCCGCCAUCGGCCCCCGCCACGGCCCCCUACACCCCGGCGCUGUUGGGACCUUCCCCGGCAAUGAGCAGGCAGCAGGUAUGCCCAGCCCCUUGCCUGUAAAUUUAUCUCCUUGAUUCGCAAUGGUCGUCCGAUGAUUGUUAUUUGGCUCUUGUCCUUUCUAGCAAUAAAUUGAUGGUUGGGGCAUUGUCGCUGUGCAGUUUUGAUUUAGAUUUGAUUAAAGGUGGUCAGAAAAAAGAUCGGCUUCUUUUUGCUAUAAAUUGUCUUCAGUUCCGUGAGGAUCUUAUGUCCCCUUCAUCAAUCGUGUAGGAUAUUCCUGAAUUCCUUCAUCUAAAACUGUAUUUCUAUAAUUUAUUGUGAUAUUCCGAUAGCAAUAUUAGUGUUGAGGAUAUAUGAUUGUUCAGGACAGGGAAUCCAGAAUUUUGUGGUUCCAGGAAAGCAUUAGCUGCUCCUUUGUAGUCCUGAGCAUAGAGGUAUAACUACUGUGAGAUACAAGUGUAGAGUAUAUUAAGUUGCGAGGCUAAAUUUGACGCAGCUGCUACACUGCCUAGUAUAUUGUAUACCUUCAGCAAGCUGAGAGCUGCACCCUCACAGUACCACGCCUUUGGCCACCGAGGACGCAUGGCUUUGCAUUGUUGAGUAUCUGACAGGGCACACUUUCCAUCUCCCAGCCGCAACCAGCAUAAGCUUCUAUUGGAAAACACGGUAGCAUCAAGCAGAUUUUUGAAUAAUGCCUACAUUAGUAAUCAGAAAUGUGCAGGGCCUUAGAUUAUAAAUGAGUAUAGAAGCAGACUGUCUAGUGAUACUGUAGAAGCACUUGUCUGUCUUCAAGACUGGCUUCGAGGUAGAUUACAUAUUCUUUUGUGUCCUAACAUGUUUACUAUAAUAUAGUUGAAUAACUUUUGUGUCCUAACAUGUCUACUAUAAUUUGUUUUGAUUGUUUUAGAUUGUAGUACCCAUGAUGACAUAGCUGGAUGUAUUAUGGGAGAUGAAGAUGAUGAUGAGAUCUAACUCAGGUAUAAAUUUGCAGAUGAAUUCGCUUUAUGAGAUGAUCUUGCUUUUCUCAGUAAAUGAUUUGCUUUUCUCAAAUCUCAAUACUAUGUUACAACAGUCAGUCCAUAUGAUUGGUUGCUCUCCUUGUUUGCUGCCAAUUUCAUUGUCUAGAUCUAAAAGACCAGUAGGUACCUUGCAGUAUUUGGACCUUUAUUUUCAAUAAGUACCGUCUGGCACAUCAUUUAUAUGUUGUAGAAUGGAAGCAGUCUUUGUCCCUUUGUCAUGCUAUCAUGAUGAAAAGUGAAUAUUUCUUGGUAGUUUGGAAGAAUGCUUCUUUCUCAAUCUUAUUACUCAACAUUGCACUAUUGCAGGUUAGCGGCAGGAAACAUCAAGCUUUUGCAAGGCUACAAUAGUGAAAAGUGACACGAGUUGAAGUAAUCAUUGAUAGGCAAUAUGUUUGAGUUUAAUACCAUUGAUGAAUCUAUUACAAACUUGUGAUGAUAUGGAUGGCAGUCACCUUUUUUAUUUUUUUAGUUUGUUGUAUGAACUUGUGAUGACACUGCAAGGUUGCAAAUGCCUCUUAUUUAUAUUUCUCUUGUCUUAUUGUACCACUUUCUAAAACAUUUGGAACUAUACUGCAGUCAGCAGCAGCAUGUAAUUAAGUAGUAAGUAGCAGUUUGCUUAUUGCCUUAGAAUUAUUCAGAGAUUUCCCUUUUAGAUCAAGACUUAAGAGCACUGAAUUAUAUUGCAACUAGCAACAACUCAAUUUUUCUUAUUUUUCUUUGAUUUCUUGUUCAGAACUUGUAAUUUAAUGCAGUAUGCUUUUGUUCAGCAGCAGCAACCAGCUUUGACUUAUUGUUCAGAGCUUACGGCGAGA
Molecule: long non-coding RNA, 2000 nt
Filed under: Sorghum bicolor (sorghum)
Lineage: Eukaryota; Viridiplantae; Streptophyta; Magnoliopsida; Poales; Poaceae
Description: long non-coding RNA (SBIC_LNC003208)
Source: RNAcentral